CUCGGUACUCACCGUUUAGGGAAGCCGACCAACCGCCUCAGACACUGCUGCACCAGCCCUCCUCGGCCGCGUCCACCGCAGUUCCGGGGAGGGGCUUGCGCUCACGAACGCCUGCGCGCUGGGAAGGAAGUCCCGCCCCCAUUCUAGACCCCGCAUUUAAUUCGCUGCCCGGGGCGGCUUUCGCAGUCCAGGUACCGAGAGCGCGGACGGUGGGUGCAAUGGGCUGCGCGGGUAGGUCCUCCUCUCGGGCUUAGGGAGCGGGAGCAACAGGUGGAGCCCGCCGUACCUCCUCUGAAGGGGCUCUGUUCUAGCUCAUGUAUGGGAACGUAAGUUCUUGUAUUCUUGCUUUGGUUUUAGCGCAGUGGCUGUUUACGUACUGGCUGUGUGCCUGGAGCCUCGAAAACGUUUUAGCAUUUAAUUUACAACUCAACCAGCCUGUAUUGGAGGUGUUUUCCGCAGGUUUUCAUGCCUCGCCUGUUGCUCACUGAUGGUUGGGGAAGGUCGGGCUGCCUCCAAUAAUCAAGCUAAACUGGGUCCUUUGUUACAGGCAGAGAAAUCAGCUUCACGGUAGUUAAUCUUUUUUUCGAUGUGGGGAUCACCAGACCAUCUGGGAAACCUUUCCCACGCACUGUCUCUAUGUCCGGUGACUUUGGGAAGUCCUAAAGGACAACGGGGGAAUUCACCAAGCUUAGGUCGAGUGAGCCUCCCCACCACCCCGGAGCCAGCAUGGGACACAGCUUAACUCAUUUCUUGGAGGAACUUGCCAGUGUGUCCCCAAGAGCCUGGGUGGCAUAGUCUGUGCCCAACUGGUGCCUGAAGCCUACGGGGACUGCACUUCCUGUGCUCCGGACUUCCUCAUAGGUACUUUUCCAUCUGGCUGUUCAUUUGUAUCCUUUAAUAUCCUUUGUAAUAAAUGGACACCAAGUUGGGGAAAGCAGGUAGGGGGACAGGGUGGGAUGAAUUGGGAGAUUGGGAUUGACAUAUAUACACUAAUAUGUAUAAAAUAGAUAACUAAUAAGAACCUGCUGUAUAAAAAAAUAAAUAAAAUAAAAUUCAGAAAAAUAAAAAAAAUAAAUUAUCUAAUAAAAAACCAUUUUCCAAAAAAAAAAAAAGAAAAAAACCCCAACAUUUAAGGGUCUAUUGCCACACAAGAUGCGUUACAUACAUUAUCAUGUUAAUCUUGACAAUACAUAUGCAAUAUAUUUAUAUCCUUAAUUUAGAGUUGAGGAAACUGAGUCCCCCCCCAAAAAAAAUGUGACUUCCCAAAAGUAUUCCAACUACUAAAGAUUGGAGCCAGGAUUCCAACCUAUGAUUUCUAAGUCCAUACCCUAGGGCUACUAGACCACUAAGGGUCAUCGUUCCAUCUAUCAUAAGAAGUGGCUGAACUGUCAGCCUAAAAAUGUCUCUAAGGUGAUAAUUUUGCAAGAGAAAAAUGUGCACACAAAUUAUUUAGUAAUAUUCAUGUGACAACAAAUUCUUUUACUGAAAUUUCCACUAUACGUCUUUUACCAUCCCAAUGUCAUGUCAACAUAGCAUACAGAAGUAUCAGGCAUUCUGAAGAGGAGACAAACUCCUCUUCUGACUAAAGCAGUGUCACCAGUAAUAAAGAGAGCAUUUCCUUUUGAAUGGCUCUUCAACUUCACAUAUGAAAACUUGAGCUCAUUUUUCCCCUCCCUCCUUUUAUCUACAGAGGUACACACAGCCCUCUGCUUCUCCAUGGACACAUCUUAGAACUACUCUAACCUUUCCUCUCUCCCUCACACCCCACGUCAAAUCUCACAACGGUACGCAAGAUGAGCAUUAUCCUCAAGUGUUCUGGGGUGGAAUGAACUUACUAAGGAGCAAACACACCUGCUGCAUUAAUAAAUCUUUCCUUAUUUUUGUUUUUGUAUUGUUUAUUUUGGGUUUUUUCCAUAUAUUUCAAUAUUAACAGGAUAAUACUGCAUGGUAACUUCGAUAUGUUUUUAAUUUAGUAUACAUAGAAGGAUAAUAAUUAUUAAAAUUUAGUUCCAAUUAUAUAUAUAUUAAUUCCCACACACAAACACGUGUGUAUAUACUAGGUCACAAUUUUAAAUGUAUUCCUUACUAAGAAUCAUGGUAAAAAAAAAAAUUGAAAAUCAUUGUUCUACAGUAUUUUGCAAAGAGUAAAAAGGAAGAUUACUAAUGUCUGCCCUAAAUACAUGAGCUCUAACAGGAAUAUUGAAAGAAUUGAAGACAGCCUGCUGAAGCAAGAUGGAACUUUAAAUUCUGAGGCCCAACCCAUCAUAUCGUCUGGAGAGAAGAGGGGGAAAUGAUGUCUGAAGAACUUAAGUGACUUGAAUGUGAUAGCAGAGAUAGACACCAGGUCCCCUGAUUCUUACAGUAGCAAACUGGCCCUUUCCACUGUACACUACAGCUAUGUGGAAAAAAAAAAUUAACCUCAAUCCUUACCUUACACUGCAUACAAAAUUUAAGUGGAAAUGAAUCACAGACCUGAAAUUAAGAGCUAAAACCUCAAAACUUCUAAAAGAAAGCACAGGAAAAAAAUUUAAUUGACCUAGAUUUGGCAAAGAUUUCUUACAUAUAACACAAAAAGCACUAACUAUAAUGAAAAAAUUCAAUGAAUUAGACCUCAUCAAAAUUAGACCACAGCAAUCUGACUCAUAAUCACAUGUAAAGAUGUUCAAUGUCCACUGGUCAUUUGGGAAAUCCAAAUUAUAAAUACAAUGAAAUACUACUACACUAGACCGCUGGUAAUACCACCAGAAUGACCUAAAACCAAAAAGACUGAUCAUACCAAGUGUCAAAUAGAAUGGUGAAGGAAGAACAGACCAGACCAUGGACCAAACUCAAUGCAGAGACAAGAGAGGAAUAUCAUGGCUAUCCAAGGUUGAAGCAAGAUCAUCUCAGUGCAUGUUCUGAAAAGGAUAGUAAUCUCUCUCAACAAGGUGUUAAAAGACUCUCCCUGGGCUUCCCUGGUGGCACAGUGGUUGAGAAUCUGCCUGCCAAUGCAGGGGACACGGGUUCGAGCCCUGGUCUGGGAAGAUCCACAUGCCGCGGAGCAACUAGGCCCGUGAGCCACAACUACUGAGCCUGCGCAUCUGGAGCUUGUGCUCCGCAACAAGAGAGGCCGCGACAGUGAGAGGCCCGCGCACCGCCAUGAAGAGUGGCCCCCGCUCACCGCAGCUAGAGAAAGCCCUCGCACAGAAACGAAGACCCAACACAGCCAAAAAUAAAUAAAUUAAUUAAUUAAAUUAAAAAAAAAAGACUCUCCCAACUAAGCAACACUCUCCACUUUCCUGCCAAAGGCAAACUGAAAGCUUAUAGCUAAUAGGCUACUCUCUGAAAUGCCCACAUGCUUCUGCUCUAACCAGUUGAGUUGUAACCAAGAGUCAGCUGUGUUUGUUCUCACACCAGUUUAUCCCAAUUUACUUGAAUACUGCAAUUACAUAAUUAAGUAUUACAUAAACAUACGAAUGCAAAGACAGAGUCGUUUCUAUGACAACUAAAUUGAAAGUUUAGAAAAACUCAACAAAGAUAAGUUGCCAAAGGAAACUGCUAUUGAAUUAGGAAGAACAAGACAACUUGCAAAAGCUGAGUAAAAAAUAAUCAAAAAAAUCUAAGACAGGCUUUCAGACUGCUUCAUAAGCAUCUUUAAAUUCUCACUCAACUUUAGAGCUUCCCUGGUGGCGGAGUGGUUAAGAAUCCACCUGCCAACGCAGGGAACUCAGGUUCGAGCCCUGGUCCGGGAAGAUCCCACAUGCCGCAGAGCAACUAAGCCCGUGCGCCACAACUGCCGAGCCUGUGCUCUAGAGCCCGCGUGCCACAGUCACUGAGCCCGUGUGCCACAACUACUGAAGGCCCACGCACCUACAGCCUGUGCUCUGCAACAAGAGAAGCCACCGUGAUGAGAA
Balaenoptera acutorostrata (minke whale) is the source of this 3893-nucleotide long non-coding RNA. RefSeq lists it as uncharacterized. The record is from RefSeq and is a predicted model, not a curated record. The transcript has 3 exons. NCBI's taxonomy places the organism in Eukaryota, Metazoa, Chordata, Mammalia, Artiodactyla, Balaenopteridae.